Molecule: ribosomal RNA, 301 nt
Filed under: uncultured bacterium
Lineage: Bacteria
Description: partial 16S ribosomal RNA
Rfam family: Bacterial small subunit ribosomal RNA
Source: RNAcentral
CAGUCGCCGCGGGAAUACGUAGGGUGCAAGCGUUAAUCGGAAUUACCGGGCGUAAAGCGUGCGCAGGCGGUUCGGAAAGAAAGAUGUGAAAUCCCAGGGCUCAACUUGGGAACUGCAUUUGAAACUGGCAAGCUAGAGUCUUGUAGAGGGGGGUAGAAUUCCAGGUGUAGCGGUGAAAUGCGUAAAGAUCUGGAGGAAUACCGGUGGCGAAGGCGGCCCCCUGGACAAAGACUGACGCUCAGGUGCGAAAGCGUGGGGAGCAAACAGGAUUAGAUACCCGCGUAGUCCCUGUCUCUUAUAC